This 561-nucleotide ribosomal RNA is filed under the name uncultured eukaryote. RNAcentral's name for it is "SSU rRNA". It matches the Rfam family "Eukaryotic small subunit ribosomal RNA", at positions 4 to 564 of the family's 1831-position model. The record is from RNAcentral.
CUGGUUGAUCCUGCCAGUAGUCAUAUGCUUGUCUCAAAGAUUAAGCCAUGCAUGUCUAAGUACAAGCCUCACUAAGGUGAAACCGCGAAUGGCUCAUUAAAUCACACCUAAUGUACUGGACAGUCUCAGUUACUUGGAUAACUGCGGUAAUUCUGGAGCUAAUACAUGCGUACUAGCCGCGACUCACGGAGCGGUGCUUUUAUUAGAUCAAAACCAAACGGCCUCGAGCCGUCCCCCUGGUGAUUCUGAAUAACUUUGGGCUGAUCGCACGGACUCGUUCCGGCGACGUGUCCUUCCAAGGUGUGCCCUAUCAACUGUCGACUGUGGCAUAGACGCCCACAGUGGUUUUGACGGGUAACGGGGAAUUAGGGUUCGAUUCCGGAGAGGGAGCCUGAGAAACGGCUACCACUUCUACGGAAGGCAGCAGGCACGCAAAUUACCCACUGGCCGAAGGCCGAGGUAGUGACGAAAAAUAACGAUACCGGACUCAUCCGAGGCCCGGUAAUCGGAAUGAGUACACUUUAAAUCCUUUAACGAGGAACAAUUGGAGGGCAGGUCUGG